AGACCGAUAGCAAACAAGUACCGUGAGGGAAGAUUGAAAAGAACUUUGAAGAGAGAGUUCAAUAGUACGUGAAACUGUGUGGUGGUAAACGGAGGGGUUCUCGAAGUCUCUGCGGGGAACUCAACCUUGGUGCGGGGCGGUCUGGGCGUGUCCGAUCAGCGAUGACGGCGCGUUCUCUCCGGCUCUGCUCCCGGGUGCAUUUCCCCCGCAGUUUACGGCAGGAACCGUUUGGCUGGGACCGAAGGCCUCGGGUGAAGUUGUCGCUUCUGGUGGCAGCCCCGGGUGUCCUGGCUCCGAGCCCGACGGGUACGCGAGAGGACUCGUAUAGCGAGCAACGCUCUGUUGCGGUUCUCAUCUCUCUGCCGAGUAGGUCGGCGGCCCCUCCGACCCGUCUUGAAACACGGAC
Molecule: ribosomal RNA, 406 nt
Filed under: Euchaeta indica
Lineage: Eukaryota; Metazoa; Arthropoda; Copepoda; Calanoida; Euchaetidae
Description: eukaryotic LSU rRNA
Rfam family: Eukaryotic large subunit ribosomal RNA
Source: RNAcentral